GCAAGGCAUCAAAGUUCAUAUCUGUAAACUUGCUACCAGUAGGCAGAGAUUGGUGGGUUACUUAAGCUUGUGAGGUUUGAGUUCCAGGGGCCUAAGCUGAUCAGAUGUCAACACUAAGUCUGGCAUAAAUGGAGAGAACCCCAGAAGUGGGAGGUCACCAAAUAGCCUAAGGAGUAAUGAAUUGACCCAAGUUGGAAAUAGCAGGUCAAAACUCCUGUUUUGAUGAAUACUGGGAUAUUACCUGUGAGUAGACCCUGAACUUUUAACCUGGGCAAGAGAAAGAGAGACCCAAUUU
This 295-nucleotide signal recognition particle RNA is filed under the name Vombatus ursinus (common wombat). RNAcentral's name for it is "Metazoan signal recognition particle RNA (ENSVURG00010009895.1)". It matches the Rfam family "Metazoan signal recognition particle RNA". Rfam says of the family: The signal recognition particle (SRP) is a universally conserved ribonucleoprotein. Lineage: Eukaryota; Metazoa; Chordata; Mammalia; Diprotodontia; Vombatidae. The record is from RNAcentral.